This 397-nucleotide ribosomal RNA is filed under the name uncultured eukaryote. Its description in RNAcentral is "SSU rRNA". It matches the Rfam family "Eukaryotic small subunit ribosomal RNA", at positions 587 to 972 of the family's 1831-position model. The record is from RNAcentral.
AGCUCCAAUAGCGUAUAUUAAAGUUGCUGCGGUUAAAACGCUCGUAGUUGGAUCUCCUCGGGUCGAGCGGGCGGUCGCGCUGCCUCGUUGCGGCGCGCACUGCUUCACGUGCUCGGUCCCACCCGUCGGUCCCGCGGCUCGCUCUUGACUGAGUGACCGCGGGGUUCCGCACAGUUUACUUUGAAAAAAUUAGAGUGUUCAAAGCAGGGCCGGAGCGCCCGAAUAAUGUUGCAUGGAAUAAUGGAAUAGGACGUCGGUCCGAUCUUGUUGGUUCUGUCCGAUUGACGUAAUGAUCGAGAGGGACGGACGGGGACAUCGGUAUUGCGGCGCGAGAGGUGAAAUUCUUGGACCGUCGCACGACCAACCAAAGCGAAAGCAUUUGUCAAGAACGUUUUCA